This 292-nucleotide ribosomal RNA is filed under the name uncultured eukaryote. RNAcentral's name for it is "partial 18S ribosomal RNA". It matches the Rfam family "Eukaryotic small subunit ribosomal RNA", at positions 6 to 294 of the family's 1831-position model. The record is from RNAcentral.
GGUUGAUCCUGCCAGUAGUCAUAUGCUUGUCUAAAAGAUUAAGCCAUGCAAGUCUAAGUAUAAGCGAUUAUACAGCAAAACUGCAGAUAGCUCAUUAUAUCAGUUAUAGUUUAUUUGAUGGUACCCUACUACAUGGAUAACUGUAGUAAUUCUAGAGCUAAUACAUGCCCGGAAACUCUGACCCCUCGGGGAAAGAGCGGACUUAUUAGAUUUUAUGCCAUCCCAGUUUCGGCUGGAUCAGGUGAGUCAUAAUAAUUUCUAGACCGCAUAUACCUUAGCGGGUGGCGGUGGG